GAUGAAGAACGCAGUGAAAUGCGAUACGUAAUGUGAAUUGCAGAAUUCAGUGAAUCAUCGAGUCUUUGAACGCACAUUGCGCCCCCUGGUAUUCCGGGGGGCAUGCCUCUCCGAGCGUCAUUGCUGCCCUCAAGCACGGCUUGUGUGUUGGGCCUCCGUCCUCCUCCCGGGGGACGGGCCCGAAAGGCAGCGGCGGCACCGCGUCCGGUCCUCGAGCGUAUGGGGCUUCGUCACCCGCUCUUGUAGGCCCGGCCGGCGCUUGCCGACACAUCAAUCUUUUUUCCAGGUUGACCUCGGAUCAGGUAGGGAUACCCGCUGAACUUAAGCAUAUCAAUAAGCGGAGGA
Molecule: unclassified non-coding RNA, 345 nt
Filed under: soil metagenome
Description: partial contains 5.8S ribosomal RNA, internal transcribed spacer 2, and large subunit ribosomal RNA
Rfam family: 5.8S ribosomal RNA (bases 1-120)
Source: RNAcentral